UGACAGAUUGAGAGCUCUUUCUUGAUUCGGUGGGUGGUGGUGCAUGGCCGUUCUUAGUUGGUGGAGCGAUUUGUCUGGUUAAUUCCGAUAACGAACGAGACUCUAGCCUGCUAACUAGGCGAUUUCCGGUACCCACAACAGUGUUACCGGCGAUUCAAUUUCUUCUUAGAGGGACAGGCGGCUCCUAGCCGCACGAGACUGAGCAAUAACAGGUCUGUGAUGCCCUUAGAUGUCCUGGGCCGCACGCG
RNAcentral lists this ribosomal RNA (248 nucleotides) under Leptataspis bukidnona. RNAcentral's name for it is "partial small subunit ribosomal RNA". It matches the Rfam family "Eukaryotic small subunit ribosomal RNA", at positions 1241 to 1495 of the family's 1831-position model. The record is from RNAcentral. Lineage: Eukaryota; Metazoa; Arthropoda; Insecta; Hemiptera; Cercopidae.